GCUCAGGACGAACGCUGGCGGCGUGCCUAAUACAUGCAAGUCGAACGAACGGAGGAAGAGCUUGCUCUUCCAAAGUUAGUGGCGGACGGGUGAGUAACACGUGGGCAACCUGCCUGUAAGUUGGGGAUAACUCCGGGAAACCGGGGCUAAUACCGAAUGAUAAAGUGUGGCGCAUGCCACGCUUUUGAAAGAUGGUUUCGGCUAUCGCUUACAGAUGGGCCCGCGGUGCAUUAGCUAGUUGGUAGGGUAAUGGCCUACCAAGGCAACGAUGCAUAGCCGACCUGAGAGGGUGAUCGGCCACACUGGGACUGAGACACGGCCCAGACUCCUACGGGAGGCAGCAGUAGGGAAUCUUCCGCAAUGGACGAAAGUCUGACGGAGCAACGCCGCGUGUAUGAAGAAGGUUUUCGGAUCGUAAAGUACUGUUGUUAGAGAAGAACAAGGAUAAGAGUAACUGCUUGUCCCUUGACGGUAUCUAACCAGAAAGCCACGGCUAACUACGUGCCAG
Molecule: ribosomal RNA, 508 nt
Filed under: Listeria monocytogenes
Lineage: Bacteria; Bacillati; Bacillota; Bacilli; Caryophanales; Listeriaceae
Description: bacterial SSU rRNA
Rfam family: Bacterial small subunit ribosomal RNA
Source: RNAcentral